CUUUAACGAGACAUGUGCACGCCUGGCUCAUCCACUCUCAACCUCUGUGCACUUUAUGUAAGAAACGGUGUAAGCCAGCUAUCUAAUAGUUGGUAAUAAGCCUUUCUUAUGUUUAUUACAAACGCUUCAGUUAUAGAAUGUUUACUGUGUAUAACACAAUUAUAUACAACUUUCAGCAACGGAUCUCUUGGCUCUCGCAUCGAUGAAGAACGCAGCGAAAUGCGAUAAGUAAUGUGAAUUGCAGAAUUCAGUGAAUCAUCGAAUCUUUGAACGCACCUUGCACUCCUUGGUAUUCCGAGGAGUAUGCCUGUUUGAGUCUCAUGGAAUUCUCAACCCCUAAAUUUUGUAAUGAAGUUUAGUGGGCUUGGACUUGGAGGUUGUGUCGGCUUCUGGUCGACUCCUCUGAAAUGCAUUAGCGUGAAUCUUACGGAUCGCCUUCAGUGUGAUAAUUAUCUGCGCUGUGGUGUUGAAGUAUUUAUUAGUUCAUGCUUAUAGUCGUCUCUUACCGAGACAAUUUAUGACAAUCUGAGCUCAAAUCAGGUAGGACUACCCGCUGAACUUAAGCAUAUCAAUAAGCGGAGGAAAAGAAACUAACAAGGAUUCCCCUAGUAACUGCGAGUGAAGCGGGAAAAGCUCAAAUUUAAAAUCUGGCGGCUUUGGUCGUCCGAGUUGUAUUCUAGAGAAGUGUUUUCCGCGUUGGACCGUGUAUAAGUCUCUUGGAACAGAGCGUCAUAGAGGGUGAGAAUCCCGUCUUUGACACGGACUACCAAUGCUUUGUGAUACACUCUCAAAGAGUCGAGUUGUUUGGGAAUGCAGCUCAAAA
RNAcentral lists this ribosomal RNA (823 nucleotides) under Ceriporia sp. 1 RG-2014. RNAcentral's name for it is "eukaryotic LSU rRNA". The stretch from base 527 to 823 matches the Rfam family "Eukaryotic large subunit ribosomal RNA", at positions 1 to 292 of the family's 3401-position model. Lineage: Eukaryota; Fungi; Basidiomycota; Agaricomycetes; Polyporales; Irpicaceae. The record is from RNAcentral.